Saitoella complicata NRRL Y-17804 is the source of this 72-nucleotide transfer RNA. It matches the Rfam family "tRNA". From Rfam's summary of the family: Transfer RNA (tRNA) molecules are approximately 80 nucleotides in length. Their secondary structure includes four short double-helical elements and three loops (D, anti-codon, and T loops). The record is from Rfam. NCBI's taxonomy places the organism in Eukaryota, Fungi, Ascomycota, Saitoellomycetes, Saitoellales, Saitoellaceae.
GGCUCCUUGGUGUAGUGGUAUCACAUUCGCCUCACACGCGAAAGGCCGCGAGAUCGAAACUCGCAGGUGUCA